GGGGAAGCACUGCGCCGCCCCUGCAUGCCCUGCAUCCUCGGGUCCUGGGAGGGCUGCUCAGUAACUGGAAGGAAAAUGAAACUGAAAAAGAGCAAGGGUCCCGUAGGAUUGAACACAGUUGGUGAACCUUGGGCCGUCUGCCUCAAGUCCCCGCUUGGCAAAACCACUCCCUCCUGGUGGACGCCCUCACCAUGAAGGUUUGAGUUUCAGGCACUGUGACUGACUUCCUGCCACA
Molecule: long non-coding RNA, 235 nt
Filed under: Pan troglodytes (chimpanzee)
Lineage: Eukaryota; Metazoa; Chordata; Mammalia; Primates; Hominidae
Description: long non-coding RNA NONPTRT002019
Source: RNAcentral